UAAUAUUGAAAUUCAGCUUAUUUUAUACAGGAAUGGACAGUGAGCAUGAAGAAGUCAUAUUAGACAUUGAAACACUGUGUAGAUAUGUUGAUAAGAAGCUAAGCAGGUGAUGAGAAGAAGGCAGAGGAGAAAGAAAGAGGAGGGAGGGACUGGGAUAAACUCCACCAGUCCAUGUUUAAAUCAGUAGGAAACAAAAGUACGGCUGAAUGCUCCUGCAAACAGCUCCACUUAUGUGAGCCCAAAGCUUGGAAAUGUGCACGAGACGGGCUGCAGGAGACCCGGGUGAUAAAGCUGGCACUGGAAAAGCAAACUACAGAAUGACAAUGUCACUCUCUGAAGUCUCAACACCUUGCUCUGACAGAGUUAGCCGACUCAGGAGAAGAAGAAGAAGAAGAAGAAGAAGAAGAAGAAGAAGAAGAAGAAGAAUAUGAAGAAGAAGAAGAAGAAGAAGAAGAAGAAGAAGAAGAAGAGGAUGCAAAACUUGUCAGCUGUACUUGUCACACUCUUCCAUUCACCACAAAAACAAGGAAAUCAUAACUUUGAGAAGUGUUAUAACAGUUGAUUGUGUUAAAGGUGAAACAGCGAGAGAGAGAGAGAGAGAGAGAGAGAGAGAGAGAGAGAGAGAGAGAGAGAGAGAGAGAAGAAAAACGAAAGAAAGAAAAAAACAUGACACUUUUCCAAAUAUCAGAAGAUGCCUUUGCUACUCUUGGGAUUGCACUACUGUCACAGAUCAGUAAGGGCGUUUAUCUCUUGUGCGGCGAGGUCCCGAGUCGGUGUGUGUUCAGGCGAGAUCACAGCAGCAACGGCCGCUUAAUUAGCACCGAGCAGAUGAGAGCGGGCAGCACUGGUGAGCUAAAGGGCUCUACACAGCACGGAGGAGCUGCACGAAGCCUGAAGAAAGUUAGCACGGGAGAUCCGUUAAAACAGCAGGAAGGCACACGGACAAAAACUUAAACCCUCUGAGGAUGACCAACUGAUCUGUCCCGAACUCUGCUAAACUCUUAAAGUCCCAAACUCCUGCUCCAAGAUCACAGUGAAAAUCUCUCUGUAUUUAUUUAGUUAGUUUAAGGAGAAAAGCAGUGGGAAGAAUGAGGAGGGGAGAAGAGAAAAAAAAAGAUGGGAGUUUUUUAGACAGCCAACUUUUAGACACCCUGAUGUAAAACUUAGUUUGACAGGUAUGAAGAGCCUUUGGGAUAGAGUGACAUGCUGUGUUUGACUGCCUUCACCUGUCAUUAUGUCCACAGCCGGGGAAAGUACAUAAUAUACCACGCUGAACUAAAGCACGCACAGCAGGGACUCUCUGAAACCUGCUUUUGCUAAACAACACAAGAAUACAUCAGUGCAAAUAUUUCAAAUGUGUAUAACGUCACGGUGUCAUGAUUUUUACAUGACUUUGCCUACACUUUUCGUUCAUGUUUUCUAAUCACAGUGCUGUUGAAUUCUCAAUUCUGAUUGGCCAGAAGGUGUCUAUAACAGCAGCUUGGACAGUUGUUAUAUCAAUUUAAUACGGUGUCAUUUAGUUAGAUAAUCAGUCACUUUUAUUGUCUUUGGCUUCACCAUAUAUUAUAAAAAAUUACAUCAACACAACAACCAAAAAACAACAAAGCAAAAGUACAUAAAAAAACAGUAUAAACAUCUAUAACUCAAAUCUACGUUAUAAUGUACACACACAUUCCCAUUUGUAUGUAUGUAUAUAUGUAUAUAUUAUGGCACUUGGCACAAAUGGCAUCCGGUACAUGUUUCCUUGCCUGUGGUUGUCUAGGGUCUCCUUGAAGGUAAACAACUGAAAUUUCUAUAGUAACAGCUCAUUUACAGGGACUUGUAUGGUGGAUGUUUCACAUAAUCUAAACUGCAUAAUACACAGGUAAAUCAGGUACACAGAUAACGUAAACAGUUUAAAAAAUGUGCUUUUAAUUAUUACAGAAAAAAUGUAUGAUCGUUAAAUGAGUCACUGGUGACAUCACCUUAGAAAGAAGUAAUGUACAGAAAGUUUUCCACCUUGGGGGAAGUUUAUCAGAAACAAGUUGUCUUAUUAAAUCAUGAAAGAAAAAGAAAAAAAAAAAAGAAACUGGUGAGGGAAAGACUGUUUUGUCGCUGCAAGAGCAUAAAAGAAAGUAUUUAAAUGUGACUAUAAACUGAUAAAAAAAUAUGACAAGCCAUUUUGAAUUAAUGUAAUGUAAUUUAAAUUAAUGUAAUGUAAUUGAUGUAAUGUAAUACAUGUAAUUAUCGAC
This is a long non-coding RNA of Ictalurus punctatus (channel catfish), 2231 nucleotides long. Lineage: Eukaryota; Metazoa; Chordata; Actinopteri; Siluriformes; Ictaluridae. The record is from Ensembl.